GGAAUUUUCCGCAAUGGGCGAAACCUGACGGAGCAAUACCGCGUGAGGGAGGAAGGCUCUUGGGUUGUAAACCUCUUUUCUAAGGAAGAAAAAAAUGACGGUACUUGAGGAAUCAGCAUCGGCUAACUCCGUGCCAGCACCGCGGUAAUACGGAGGAUGCAAGCGUUAUCCGGAAUGAUUGGGCGUAAAGCGUCCGCGGUGGCUAUGUAAGUCUGCUGUUAAAGAGCAAGGCUCAACCUUGUAAAAGCAGUGGAACUACAUGGCUAGAGU
Molecule: ribosomal RNA, 270 nt
Filed under: uncultured Calothrix sp.
Lineage: Bacteria; Bacillati; Cyanobacteriota; Cyanophyceae; Nostocales; Calotrichaceae
Description: partial 16S ribosomal RNA
Rfam family: Bacterial small subunit ribosomal RNA
Source: RNAcentral